This 69-nucleotide transfer RNA is filed under the name Rhynocoris marginatus. Its description in RNAcentral is "tRNA-Lys". It matches the Rfam family "tRNA". Rfam says of the family: Transfer RNA (tRNA) molecules are approximately 80 nucleotides in length. Lineage: Eukaryota; Metazoa; Arthropoda; Insecta; Hemiptera; Reduviidae. The record is from RNAcentral.
CAUUAAGUGGCUGAAAGUAAGCAUUGGUCUCUUAAACCAAAUUAUGGUAUCUACAAAUACCCUUAAUGG